RNAcentral lists this long non-coding RNA (316 nucleotides) under Medicago truncatula (barrel medic). RNAcentral describes it as "long non-coding RNA (MTRU_LNC001517)". The record is from RNAcentral. Lineage: Eukaryota; Viridiplantae; Streptophyta; Magnoliopsida; Fabales; Fabaceae.
UUGUCUAUUUAAACACAUAUUUGCCUCACAUAUUUCCUCCCCCUCUUCUUCCUCUUGCUUCUUUCAAUAUCUUAGCAUUGCUUUUCAAAGCUUUGUUUCUUCAUAACCUUUGCAUUGCUCUUGAAGCUUUGUUUCUUCAUACCCUUUUCUCAUUUUCCCUUAACAAUCACUCAUUUUUCCCUUUUUGGUAAGCAUUUGAUUUUUUUUCUCUAGUUAAAACUUUAGUCAUUAUACCCUUAAACCUUCACCUUUUAAUUUUCAAUCAACCAUAGCUUCAAAACCAUUGAAAAAACAUAAUUGACAUUAACCUAUGAUU